Molecule: ribosomal RNA, 315 nt
Filed under: Citrobacter freundii
Lineage: Bacteria; Pseudomonadati; Pseudomonadota; Gammaproteobacteria; Enterobacterales; Enterobacteriaceae
Description: bacterial SSU rRNA
Rfam family: Bacterial small subunit ribosomal RNA
Source: RNAcentral
AAUGUCUGGGAAACUGCCCGAUGGAGGGGGAUAACUACUGGAAACGGUAGCUAAUACCGCAUAACGUCGCAAGACCAAAGAGGGGGACCUUCGGGCCUCUUGCCAUCGGAUGUGCCCAGAUGGGAUUAGCUAGUAGGUGGGGUAACGGCUCACCUAGGCGACGAUCCCUAGCUGGUCUGAGAGGAUGACCAGCCACACUGGAACUGAGACACGGUCCAGACUCCUACGGGAGGCAGCAGUGGGGAAUAUUGCACAAUGGGCGCAAGCCUGAUGCAGCCAUGCCGCGUGUAUGAAGAAGGCCUUCGGGUUGUAAAG